RNAcentral lists this non-coding RNA (128 nucleotides) under Compsopogon caeruleus. Lineage: Eukaryota; Rhodophyta; Compsopogonophyceae; Compsopogonales; Compsopogonaceae. The record is from RNAcentral.
CCUUAUUCUUUUGCGCAUUGCCUCCAAAGUUUCGAUCGCGUUGGGCCCACAAGAUGAUGACUCUAGUAGAACCCAAGCAGGGAGAACUCUUCACUCUCAUUCAUCCGAUUGGAUCUUGGACGGAUGGA